UCGAGGAUCUUCGGCAAUGGGCGCAAGCCUGACCGAGCGACGCCGCGUGUGCGAUGAAGGCCUUCGGGUUGUAAAGCACUGUCGGGGGGGAGAAAGGCCGCAAGGCUUGAUCGACCUCCGGAGGAAGCACGGGCUAAGUUCGUGCCAGCAGCCGCGGUAAGACGAACCGUGCGAACGUUGUUCGGAAUCACUGGGCUUAAAGGGCGCGUAGGCGGACCGGCGAGUCAGGGGUGAAAGCCCGCGGCCUAACCGCGGAAGUGCCCCUGAUACCGCCGGCCUUGAGGGGGAUAGGGGCGUGCGGAACUUCGGGUGGAGCGGUGAAAUGCGUAGAUAUCCGAAGGAACACCGGUGGCGAAGGCGGCACGCUGGGUCCCUACUGACGCUGAGGCGCGAAAGCCAGGGGAGCGAACG
RNAcentral lists this ribosomal RNA (411 nucleotides) under uncultured Gemmata sp. RNAcentral describes it as "bacterial SSU rRNA". It matches the Rfam family "Bacterial small subunit ribosomal RNA", at positions 355 to 774 of the family's 1533-position model. The record is from RNAcentral. Lineage: Bacteria; Pseudomonadati; Planctomycetota; Planctomycetia; Gemmatales; Gemmataceae.